UACGGAGGGUGCAAGCGUUAUCCGGAUUCACUGGGUUUAAAGGGUGCGUAGGUGGGUUGGUAAGUCCGUGGUGAAAUCCCCGAGCUUAACUUGGGAACUGCCAUGGAUACUAUUAAUCUUGAAUGUCGUGGAGAUGAGCGGAAUAUGUCAUGUAGCGGUGAAAUGCUUAGAGAUGACAUAGAACACCAAUUGCGAAGGCAGCUCACUACACGAAUAUUGACACUGAGGCACGAAAGCGUGGGGAUCAAACAGG
This 253-nucleotide ribosomal RNA is filed under the name uncultured bacterium. RNAcentral's name for it is "partial 16S ribosomal RNA". It matches the Rfam family "Bacterial small subunit ribosomal RNA", at positions 524 to 776 of the family's 1533-position model. The record is from RNAcentral.